Molecule: ribosomal RNA, 1269 nt
Filed under: uncultured bacterium
Lineage: Bacteria
Description: bacterial SSU rRNA
Rfam family: Bacterial small subunit ribosomal RNA
Source: RNAcentral
GACGAGGAUAACAGUUGGAAACGACUGCUAAUACUGGAUUGGAAGCGAGGAAGGCAUCUUCCCAGCUUGAAAGGUCCUUUACGGGACUACUUAAAGAGGGGCCUGCGGCGCAUUAGUUAGUUGGUAAGGUAAGGGCUUACCAAGACAAUGAUGCGUAGCUGGACUGAGAGGUUGAACAGCCACACUGGGACUGAGAACGGCCCAGACUCCUACGGGAGGCAGCAGUAGAGAAUCUUCGGCAAUGGGGGGAACCCUGACCGAGCGAUACCGCGUGAAUGAAGAAAUACUUCGGUAUGUAAAGUUCUUUUAUAGAGGAUGAAUGAUGCGUGUAGGAAAUGACACGUAAGUGACAGUACUUUAGGAAUAAGCCCCGGCUAACUAUGUGCCAGCAGCCGCGGUAAUACAUAGGGGGCAAGCGUUAUCCGGAUUUAUUGGGCGUAAAGGGUGCGUAGGCGGCCGUUUAAGUUUGAGGUGUAAGUUCAAGGCUCAACCUUGUGAUGCUUCAAAAACUGGAUGGCUUGAGAGAGGUAGAGGCAAGUGGAAUUCCAUGUGUAGCGGUAAAAUGCGUAAAUAUAUGGAGGAACACCAGUGGCGAAGGCGGCUUGCUGGGCCUUAUCUGACGCUGAGGCACGAAAGCGUGGGGGAGCCAAACAGGAUUAGAUACCCUGGUAGUCCACGCCGUAAACGAAUGAGUACCUAAGUGUCGGGAGAACCCGGUGCUGCAGUUAACGCAUUAAGUACUCCGCCUGAGUAGUACGUGCGCAAGCAUAAAACUCAAAGGAAUUGGCGGGACCUCGCACAAGCGGUGGAUCAUGUUGUUUAAUUCGACGAUACGCGAAGAGCCUUACCAGGCCUUGACAUACCGAGCGAUGCUAUGGAGACAUAGCGGAGGUUAUUCUGGGAUACAGGUGGUGUAUGGUUGUCGUCAGCUCGUGUCGUGAGAUGUUGGGUUAAGUCCCGCAACGAGCGCAACUCUUAUCGCUAAUUGCCAUCAUUAAGUUGGGGACUUUAGCGAGACUGCCAGUGACAAACUGGAGGAAGGUGAGAAUGACGUCAAAUCAUCAUGCCCCUUAUGGCCUGGGCUACAAACGUGAUACAAUGGUUGGUACAAAGGGAGGCAACGCCGUGAGGCCAAGCGAACCCCAUAAAACCAAUCUCAGUUCGGAUUGAAGUCUGCAACUCGACUUCAUGAAGUCGGAAUCGCUAGUAAUCGUAGAUCAGAACGCUACGGUGAAUACAUGCUCGAGGUUUGCACACCCCGCCCGUCAA